UACAGAGGUCUCAAGCGUUGUUCGGAUUCAUUGGGCGUAAAGGGUGCGUAGGUGGCUAGGUAAGUCGGAUGUGAAAUCCCCAGGCUUAACCUGGGAACUGCAUCCGAUACUGGAUGGCUUGAAUCCGGGAGAGGGAUGCAGAAUUCCAGGUGUAGCGGUGAAAUGCGUAGAUAUCUGGAGGAAUACCGGUGGCGAAGGCGGCAUCCUGGACCGGCAUUGACGCUGAGUGAGCGAAAGCCAGGGGAGCAAACGGG
RNAcentral lists this ribosomal RNA (254 nucleotides) under uncultured bacterium. RNAcentral's name for it is "partial 16S ribosomal RNA". It matches the Rfam family "Bacterial small subunit ribosomal RNA", at positions 524 to 776 of the family's 1533-position model. The record is from RNAcentral.